CUCUUCGGGGAUGAUUAAACCGGCGCACGGGUGAGUAACACGUGAGUGACCUGCCUUUUAGACUGGAACAACUUACCGAAAGGUGAGCUAAUGCCGGAUGAGUUAUAUAAGUGCAUGUUUAUAUAGGAAAAGUUGGGGAGACCUGACGCUGAAAGAUGGACUCGCGUCCCAUUAGCUAGUUGGUAGGGUAAUGGCCUACCAAGGCGACGAUGGGUAGCCGGCCUGAGAGGGUGGCCGGCCACACUGGGACUGAGACACGGCCCAGACUCCUACGGGAGGCAGCAGUGGGGAAUUUUGCGCAAUGCUCGUAAGAGUGACGCAGCGACGCCGCGUGAAUGACGAAGGCCUUCGGGUCGUAAAGUUCUUUCGACAGGGAAGAAAAUGCCUAUAAGUAACUGUGUAUGUAUUGACGGUACCUGUAUAAGCAGCCCCGGCUAACUCCGUGCCAGCAGCCGCGGUAAUACGGAGGGGGCGAGCGUUGUUCGGAGUGACUGGGCGUAAAGAGCACGUAGGCGGUGUUGUAAGUCAUUAGUCAAAGACUAGAGCUCAACUUUAGUAAGGCUAGUGAUACUAUAAUACUAGAGUAUCAGAGAGGAUUGCAGAAUUCCUGGUGUAGCGGUGAAAUGCGUAGAUAUCAGGAGGAAUACCGUUAGCGAAGGCGGCAAUCUGGCUGGAAACUGACGCUGAGGUGCGAAAGCGUGGGUAGCAAACAGGAUUAGAUACCCUGGUAGUCCACGCU
Molecule: ribosomal RNA, 739 nt
Filed under: uncultured bacterium
Lineage: Bacteria
Description: bacterial SSU rRNA
Rfam family: Bacterial small subunit ribosomal RNA
Source: RNAcentral